Molecule: ribosomal RNA, 253 nt
Filed under: uncultured bacterium
Lineage: Bacteria
Description: partial 16S ribosomal RNA
Rfam family: Bacterial small subunit ribosomal RNA
Source: RNAcentral
UACGGAGGGGGCAAGCGUUAUCCGGAUUUACUGGGCUUAAAGGGUGCGUAGGCGGGCCAUUAAGUCAGUGGUGAAAGCUCCGAGCUUAACUCGGAAACUGCCAUUGAUACUAUUGGUCUUGAAUUCGGUCGAGGUUGGCGGAAUGUGUCGUGUAGCGGUGAAAUGCUUAGAUAUGACACAGAACACCGAUUGCGAAGGCAGCUAGCUAGACCGACAUUGACGCUGAGGCACGAAAGCGUGGGGAUCAAACAGG